RNAcentral lists this ribosomal RNA (292 nucleotides) under uncultured bacterium. RNAcentral describes it as "partial 16S ribosomal RNA". It matches the Rfam family "Archaeal small subunit ribosomal RNA", at positions 455 to 747 of the family's 1478-position model. The record is from RNAcentral.
GUGCCAGCCGCCGGGUAAUACCGGCAGCCCGAGUGAUGGCCGAUCUUAUUGGGCCUAAAGCGUCCGUAGCUGGCUGCUCCAGUCCGUCGGGAAAUCCACCUGCCCAACAGGUGGGCGUCCGGCGGAAACUGUGUGGCUUGGAACCGGAAGGCUCAGAGGGUACGUCCGGGGUAGGAGUGAAAGCCCGUAAUCCCGGACGGACCACCGAUGGCGAAAGCACUCUGAGAAGACGGCUUCGACAGUGAGGGACGAAAGCUAGGGUCGCAAACCGGAUUAGAAACCCUAGUAGUCC